UUUUCUCACAUUCUCACAUUUUACCCAAUUCUCCAUUUUUGAGGCCAUAAUUACUUUCAAAUUCUGAGGGGAAAAUUACGAAAAAAGGUUACUCAAAAAUUCUAAUUAGACGAAGGCGGCACUUAGGCGGUGGUGGCUGAUAGCGGUGGUGGCUGAUCUCAUUUUCAUCUUGCAUGUCCCUUCCUUGAGCUGAUUGCUCGAAUUUCUAUUCAAGCUGCACUGAGGGCUUUAAAAGAGGCUUAGAAGACUGGGUCUGAAUACGUAAAUCACAUGAGAAGGGUUUCAGGCAAGCAGUUUCUACAAAUAUGGUGUAUCAAAUUCGGAAUAUUGUUCCUAGUAGUGUGUUAGUGAAUACUGUUAAUUUGAUCCAGUGUUUGAUCAGACAAAGGAAGUUGUUUGUCAUCAACUGUUUAUCUGGUUAACAUUGCCAUCAUCAUCAUCUUUACUGGUGCUGGACUUUUCGGGUCCUUCUCUUCGUUCAGGAAGUGGAUUCUCGAUGCCAAACAAUUCAAGCUCUUUAGUAACGGUAUAGUGGAUUAGACUGGAUCUUAAUUAAGGUGACUGACCCCUUGAAAAAGUAGAGCAUAUACUUUUUUUAACUAAAUGUUUCAUUGCAUUCACAUUUCACACUCACAGCAUUCUUGUUUCUGAUAUACAGUCUAGUAUACAGAGUUAAAGCAUCUUAAGCUGUAAUUUGUAGUGUGCCACGGUUUUUUUUUUUUUUUUUCGUUUUUGUUUUUGUUUGCUAAUUGUAAAUUUUGUUGAGCAACAUCUGUAUAAUUGUAUUUUUUGCUAUUUAGAGAUCGAUUUUUUUUUUUUUUUUUUUUUUUUUUUUUUUUUUUUUUUUGCUAAUUGUAAAUUUUGUUGAGCAACAUCUGUAUAAUUGUAUUUUUUGCUA
This is a long non-coding RNA of Chenopodium quinoa (quinoa), 898 nucleotides long. RefSeq lists it as uncharacterized. The transcript has 2 exons. Lineage: Eukaryota; Viridiplantae; Streptophyta; Magnoliopsida; Caryophyllales; Amaranthaceae. The record is from RefSeq and is a predicted model, not a curated record.